GUGAAAGGCCAAUCAAACCGGGAGAUAGCUGGUUCUCCCCGAAAGCUAUUUAGGUAGCGCCUCGUGAAUUCAUCUCCGGGGGUAGAGCACUGUUUCGGCAAGGGGGUCAUCCCGACUUACCAACCCGAUGCAAACUGCGAAUACCGGAGAAUGUUAUCACGGGAGACACACGGCGGGUGCUAACGUCCGUCGUGAAGAGGGAAACAACCCAGACCGCCAGCUAAGGUCCCAAAGUCAUGGUUAAGUGGGAAACGAUGUGGGAAGGCCCAGACAGCCAGGAUGUUGGCUUAGAAGCAGCCAUCAUUUAAAGAAAGCGUAAUAGCUCACUGGUCGAGUCGGCCUGCGCGGAAGAUGUAACGGGGCUAAACCAUGCACCGAAGCUGCGGCAGCGACGCUUAUGCGUUGUUGGGUA
RNAcentral lists this ribosomal RNA (412 nucleotides) under Escherichia coli. Its description in RNAcentral is "partial 23S ribosomal RNA". It matches the Rfam family "Bacterial large subunit ribosomal RNA", at positions 821 to 1230 of the family's 2925-position model. The record is from RNAcentral. Lineage: Bacteria; Pseudomonadati; Pseudomonadota; Gammaproteobacteria; Enterobacterales; Enterobacteriaceae.